RNAcentral lists this ribosomal RNA (446 nucleotides) under uncultured bacterium. RNAcentral describes it as "bacterial SSU rRNA". It matches the Rfam family "Bacterial small subunit ribosomal RNA", at positions 330 to 793 of the family's 1533-position model. The record is from RNAcentral.
CCCAGACUCCUACGGGAGGCAGCAGUGGGGAAUAUUGCACAAUGGGGGAAACCCUGAUGCAGCGACGCCGCGUGAGUGAAGAAGUAUUUCGGUAUGUAAAGCUCUAUCAGCAGGGAAGAAAAUGACGGUACCUGACCAAGAAGCCCCGGCUAACUACGUGCCAGCAGCCGCGGUAAUACGUAGGGGGCAAGCGUUAUCCGGAUUUACUGGGUGUAAAGGGAGCGUAGACGGUGAUGCAAGUCAGAAGUGAAAGCCCGGGGCUCAACUCCGGGACUGCUUUUGAAACUGUGUAACUGGAGUGCAGGAGAGGUAAGCGGAAUUCCUAGUGUAGCGGUGAAAUGCGUAGAUAUUAGGAGGAACACCAGUGGCGAAGGCGGCUUACUGGACUGUAACUGACGUUGAGGCUCGAAAGCGUGGGGAGCAAACAGGAUUAGAUACCCCCGUAC